UUCCCCCCCCCCCCCCUUCCAUCCCAAGUUGAUGCUUUUCUAGAAACUACAAAGAAAAAAAUCACACUUGGCUUAUUCAAUAUUUUCCCUGCUUCAAUGUUGUAGAUAAUGUAGCUCUGAGAUAAAAACAGCUGUAGAGAAGCUGACUUGGAUUGCUGAACAAAGUUCAAUGUUGUCUGUCAACUCUUAUAUUUACACAUGUACAUAGUCUGAAUUAUAAUAUAUUACAGUGUUAUUGUGACAUAAUGGUUGUCAGGACUUUGAGUUGUUGUCUUUAUUCAAAUCGUCAAUGAUUACUUGUGCAUUUUUUAAAAAAUUCAUUUGAAUACUUAUUUCUCUGUUGAGUCAGUUUGGAAGUGACUAGAAAAUAAAAAGGGUUCAUCUGAAUGUGGUUCUCAUGUGUUGUGAGGGACCUUAAAUAUUAGACAUUUUUUUUUUAACAUAAAUCUCAUCUAUUUUUUUUUUUUUUAAGAAUUUCCAAGGUAUUUUAGCUUGUUCCAUGAAAACACCAGGGAUCCAGUCGUUUGUGUCAAUCCACUUGUUAUUAUGUUACAAAACCUUAUCAUUAUGUUAAAUGCUGGACAUUGCAGAUAUUUAGUGAAUUUUUUUAUAUACAUGCAGCUUACAGUAACUGAGUUUGCUUAUUAUUGGUAACUUAAAAAAAAACAACUUAGUAACAAUUGUUACAGCUCAAGAAUUUAAUUUAAAGAAUUUGCUCUUUGUUUGUAAAAGAGCGGCAUUCUCUUGUCUCAUGCUUGAACUAUGUAUGUUGUCUUUUUUUUUUUUUUAUUUAAAUCAUCUUUCACAUCUCCCCAUAUAUCAUAUUAUUAUUAUAUGCAUUAAAUAUCAUUUUAAAAUUUUUAACUAGCAUGAGUGUCUGUUUCCAUCCAAAAACCCAAGCCUCAUUUUCAUGUUUUUCUUCUCUACCAAUCAUGACUGUCAGGUUCCAAUGAAAUGAAACAUGUUUUACAUAUUGAAAAC
Molecule: non-coding RNA, 981 nt
Organism: Biomphalaria pfeifferi
Lineage: Eukaryota; Metazoa; Mollusca; Gastropoda; Planorbidae
Source: the annotation of a GenBank genome assembly